Non-coding RNA from Spodoptera litura, 1691 nucleotides. The record is from RefSeq and is a predicted model, not a curated record. NCBI's taxonomy places the organism in Eukaryota, Metazoa, Arthropoda, Insecta, Lepidoptera, Noctuidae.
GUUUAACCCUAUUCUUGGCAGGGUGUACAAUUUGAUACAUUCAACUUUUAGAAAAUCUAGAGAUGAGAGGAGACGUGAAGAGACAUAUUUUAUUAUCUACCAUGCUAGCAAAUAUGAUACUUAUUCUACUAAAAAUUGUUUUUUACCGUUUGCAACAUUCAAACAACAGUAGAACGCAAGUUGGUGGACCGGUCGCAGGCGUCUGCGCAACGCAAGGUGGUUCAGCAGCUUAGUAUGCAACAGCAAAGAAGAGCCAGACAGCUCGUGGCUCUUGUUCCAAAACCGGGGGCUAAAUCGGAUCAAGACGAAAGUGAGACAUCUGAAGACGAGUUACAAUAUUGCUUCCAUUCAAGGUAUUCCGAUAGUAGUUCACCACCUCCAUCACUGCCGUCUUCAAUAGAGAACCUUAACCUAUUAGCCGAUGAUGAUAAUGAGGUAAAUGAAGUGGUUGCUUCAACAUCUUUGGCCCUAUACCAACAGUCAUCACCGUCAAUUAGUGCCUGUUCGCCAUCAAUAUUAUCGCCCAGUGGUGAUGGCACCUGCCAUCACCACUAUUUGCACCUUCUCCCUCAGCGGCUACUCGCUCAAAAAGACCCCGAGUUGUCGUGGUAAAACAUAAAGUAUUACCACCCAAAAGACUGCAGCCUACUUGGCGUUAUUCUAAAUUUACCGGCUCCGCCGAAGUCGAAAAUAACGCAUUUAUGUUGCGUGAAGAGAAAACUGCUAUUGAAUACUUCAAGCUGUUGCAAGCAAGCAGAUGACAUUAUCUCUCACAUGGUGCAACAAAUAAAUAUAUAUAGUACACAAACAAAUGGCAGCUCAAUAAAUAUUACGGAGGAUGAUAUAAAAGAUUUUCUUGCAAUCCUUUUACUUAUGGGAGUUGUUAAAAUGCACGCGUAUACAGAUUAUUGGUCCAAAAUUUUACGCUACGGCAAAGCAGCUGAUAUAAUGACUCUGAAGAAGUUUCAGUUACUAAGGCGAUAUCUACUUACAUUUUAACGACAAUUUGAAAGACGAUGGCGAUAGAUAUCACAAGGUGAGGCCGCUUCUUCAAAGAUUUCGUGAGAACUGUCUACAAGUAGAAGAAGAGACGCGUUUCAGCGUCGAUGAAAUGAUGGUUCCCCAUAAAGGUACCAGAGCAGGAAGCCGCAGACAAUAUAUAAAAAAUAAACCGAAAACAUGGGGGUAUAAAAUAUUUGUUCGCGCUGGUAUAUCCGGAAUAGUUUAUGAUUUCCUGAUCUAUGGAGAUGACAAAUUUAGGUUUCACUCAUUUACAGACGAAGAAAAUACUAUGGGGCUCGGAGCAAAAGUAGUUUUAGAUUUGGCGAAAUCUUUAUAUAUAAUAAAUAUUGUUAUAUAAUAAAUAUAAUAAAUAUUAUUUAAAAGUCUGAUAUUUUAGUACAUACUUGUGAUUGAUCUCAGUAUCUCAAUAAUAGAUGUAAGUAAAUAUAAGCUUUAAAAGCUGAUAAUAUGAUAAUUGUUGAUUUUUAUAAUUUUAUGAUAAAACAAAAUAAUUGUUGUAGUAUUUAUGUUAUUUCACGUUAGAAUGUGAUAUUUUUGUUUUUGAUUUUCCUUGUGGGAAGCCUGGCAAUGUGGCAAAUAUGACACAUAGAUAUUAUAAGGUUGAUUAUUGUUGAUCUGGCAAUGUACCAAAUAUGAUACAUUAAAUAUAUGGCAAAUUAUUACAUAUA